RNAcentral lists this ribosomal RNA (499 nucleotides) under uncultured bacterium. RNAcentral's name for it is "bacterial SSU rRNA". It matches the Rfam family "Bacterial small subunit ribosomal RNA", at positions 21 to 507 of the family's 1533-position model. The record is from RNAcentral.
GGCUCAGGAUGAACGCUAGCUACAGGCUUAACACAUGCAAGUCGAGGGGAAACGACAUUGGAAGCUUGCUUCCGAUGGGCGUCGACCGGCGCACGGGUGAGUAACGCGUAUCCAACCUGCCCACCACUUGGAGAUAACCUUGCGAAAGUAAGACUAAUACCCAAUGACGUCUCUAGAAGACAUCUGAAAGAGAUUAAAGAUUUAUCGGUGAUGGAUGGGGAUGCGUCUGAUUAGCUUGUUGGCGGGGUAACGGCCCACCAAGGCGACGAUCAGUAGGGGUUCUGAGAGGAAGGUCCCCCACAUUGGAACUGAGACACGGUCCAAACUCCUACGGGAGGCAGCAGUGAGGAAUAUUGGUCAAUGGGCGAGAGCCUGAACCAGCCAAGUAGCGUGCAGGAUGACGGCCCUAUGGGUUGUAAACUGCUUUUAUAAGGGAAUAAAGUGAGCCUCGUGAGGCUUUUUGCAUGUACCUUAUGAAUAAGGACCGGCUAAUUCCGUG